RNAcentral lists this ribosomal RNA (433 nucleotides) under uncultured bacterium. RNAcentral describes it as "partial 16S ribosomal RNA". It matches the Rfam family "Bacterial small subunit ribosomal RNA", at positions 29 to 507 of the family's 1533-position model. The record is from RNAcentral.
AACGAACGCUGGCGGCAUGCCUAACACAUGCAAGUCGAACGAGACCUUCGGGUCUAGUGGCGCACGGGUGCGUAACGCGUGGGAACCUGCCCUUAGGUUCGGAAUAACUCCCCGAAAGGGGUGCUAAUACCGGAUAAUGUCUUCGGACCAAAGAUUUAUCGCCUUUGGAUGGGCCCGCGUUGGAUUAGCUAGUUGGUAGGGUAAAAGCCUACCAAGGCGACGAUCCAUAGCUGGUCUGAGGGGAUGAUCAGCCACACUGGGACUGAGACACGGCCCAGACUCCUACGGGAGGCAGCAGUGGGGAAUAUUGGACAAUGGGCGAAAGCCUGAUCCAGCAAUGCCGCGUGAGUGAUGAAGGCCUUAGGGUUGUAAAGCUCUUUUACCCGGGAUGAUAAUGACAGUACUGGGAGAAUAAGCUCCGGCUAACUCCGUG